GAGGUACACAGGGUCCCUCGGGGGGCCUGAGAGCAGCCAUGAGGAGGCACAGUGAGACAGAUGUGGAAGAGCAGACCCAGGAGCUGAAGACCAUCACUCAGCUCCAGGAGCAGUGUCGGGCACUCCAGAUCCAAGGCGUGAAAGAGAAUACGGACCAGAACAAGGCCACGCUGGCCCUCCUGCGCAGCAACAUCCGCCGCGGGGCCCAGGACUGGGCUUUGGCCAAGAAGUAUGACCAGUGGACCAUCUCCAAGGCCUGUGGGAAAAACUUGCCUUUGCGACUGGCGCACUGCCGCAGCACCAUGGAGGUGGUGCAGGAGAAGCUGCGCAAGUGCGUCUUCGACCGCGUGAACAUGCACAACCUACUGAUCCACCUGGUGCGGCGGCGCGGGCAGAAGCUGGAGAGCAUGCAGCUGGAGCUGGCCAGCCUGCGGAGCCAGCCCGACGCCAGCAAGGAGGAGCUGCGGCUGCUGCAGAUCAUCCGCCAGCUGGAGAACAACAUCGAGAAGACAAUGAUCAAGAUCGUCACCAGCCAGAACAUCCACCUGCUGUAUUUGGACCUGCUGGAUUAUCUGAAGACAGUGCUGGCAGGAUACCCCAUUGAGCUGGACAAGCUGCAGAACCUCGUGGUCAACUACUGCUCAGAGCUAUCGGAUAUGAAGAUCAUGUCCCAAGAUGCCAUGAUGAUCACGGAUGGGGUCAGGAACAUGAGGCAAAGGGAGGCGUCCUUCAUCGAGGAGCGCCGGGCAAGGGAGAACCGGCUCAACCAGCAGAAGAAGCUGAUCGACAAGAUCCACUCGAAGGAGACCAGCGAGAAGUACCGCCGGGGCCAGAUGGACUUGGACUUCCCCUCGAACCUGAUGAGCACAGAGACCCUGAAAUUGAGGAGAAAAGAGACCUCCACAGGAGAAAUGGAAUACCAGGCGGGCGUGACUGCUGUGGUGGAGAAGGUCAAGAGUGCUGUACAGUGCUCUCACGUCUGGGACAUUGCUAGCCGCUUCCUGGCCCAGAGGAACACGGAGGAGAACCUGGAGCUGCAGAUGGAGGACUGUGAGGAGCGGCGGGUGCAGCUGAAGGCCCUGGUGAAGCAGCUGGAGCUGGAGGAGGCCGUGCUCAAGUUCCGCCAGAAGCCUAGCUCCAUCAGGUGCCCCGGGCUUCCGGGGCUGCGGGCCACCCACCCCAGUCUCACGAAGGCCCCGGGCUGCAGCCAGGCUGGGAGCUGGGAGUGUACCCACUGCCAACAAGCCUGUGUGUCCCACAGAGGGGCCAGGGGGCUCCACUUGCACACACCUGAGCUUCCGAGUCCCUGAUUCUGGCACAGCACCCAACUCAGGACUGGGCUCCUGGGUGGCCCACCAUGGCUCUCGGGGCUGUGCCCCUCACUGCUGUGUCCCUAUUGCCUUCUGCAGCUUCAAGUCCGUUGAGAAGAAGAUG
This 1434-nucleotide small RNA is filed under the name Pan troglodytes (chimpanzee). RNAcentral's name for it is "processed transcript". Lineage: Eukaryota; Metazoa; Chordata; Mammalia; Primates; Hominidae. The record is from RNAcentral.